RNAcentral lists this transfer RNA (72 nucleotides) under Lucasium damaeum (beaded gecko). Its description in RNAcentral is "tRNA-Gln". It matches the Rfam family "tRNA". From Rfam's summary of the family: Transfer RNA (tRNA) molecules are approximately 80 nucleotides in length. Lineage: Eukaryota; Metazoa; Chordata; Lepidosauria; Squamata; Diplodactylidae. The record is from RNAcentral.
UAGGAGAUAGUAUAAUAGGUAGUACAUGAAGUUUUGGACUUUGUAGUGCAGGUUCGUGUCCUGUUUUUCUAG